CAAUAGCGUAUAUUAAAGUUGUUGCAGUUAAAAAAGCUCGUAGUUGGAUUUCUGGCAGGAGCGACCGGUCCGCCGUAAGGUGUGCACUAGGUUGUCUCCAGUCAUCUUUGUGGGAACUGCUCUGGCAUUAGUUUGUCGGGGUUAGGGAACACAUCGUUUACUGUGAAAAAAUUAGAGUGUUUAAAGCAGGCUUAUGCCGUUGAAUACAUUAGCAUGGAAUAAUAGAAUAGGACUUCGGUACUAUUUUGUUGGUUUCUAGGACCGAAGUAAUGAUUAAUAGGGACAGUUGGGGGCAUUCAUAUUCCAUUGUCAGAGGUGAAAUUCUUGGAUUAACGGAAGAUGAACUACUGCGAAAGCAUCUGCCAAGGAUGUUUUCAUUGAUCAAGAACGAAAGUUAGGGGAUCGAAGAUGAUUAGAU
Molecule: ribosomal RNA, 418 nt
Filed under: uncultured eukaryote
Lineage: Eukaryota
Description: bacterial SSU rRNA
Rfam family: Eukaryotic small subunit ribosomal RNA
Source: RNAcentral